UUGUGGAGGAGGACGCCGAAGGUGUGGCUAAUGACUGGGGUGAAGUCGUAACAAGGUAGCCGUACCGGAAGGUGUGGCUGGAUCACCUCCUAACAGGGAGACAACAAAAUGUAAAUAUUAAUUUUGUCACCUUAGGUCGAUCGGUAUCUCAGAUUCUUAUUUUUUAAGAAUUUCAGUUUCUAAGUUUUUUCUAGGUCACACCCAUCACUUUUUCCUGGGCCAUUAGCUCAGGUGGUUAGAGCGCACCCCUGAUAAGGGUGAGGUCCCUGGUUCAAGUCCAGGAUGGCCCAUAUCUCUCUAUGUUGGGGGUAUAGCUCAGUUGGUAGAGCGCCUGCUUUGCAAGCAGGAUGUCAGCGGUUCGAGUCCGCUUACCUCCACUGAAUACCACCUCUUCCAUAAUAUAUUGAAGGGAAAUUUCUUUGAGUUGUGAUCAAAUUCUGAACGAAUCUAGCUUCCUAAUGAGAUCAUUAAGAUGCUGGACUCAUUGAAUUAUUUCAUUGUUUUCAGAGAACCUUGACAACUGCAUAGAUUAUUUUUAAAGACAAUAAGCAUCUCUAAUGAUGCAGAUUUAUUAUUUGUGCGAAUGCAUUAAAUAACAAUUCUAUUAAGCUGAUGCUUCAAUAUGAAGUUAUUGGUCAAGCUACAA
Molecule: unclassified non-coding RNA, 646 nt
Filed under: uncultured Prochlorococcus sp.
Lineage: Bacteria; Bacillati; Cyanobacteriota; Cyanophyceae; Synechococcales; Prochlorococcaceae
Description: partial 16S-23S ribosomal RNA intergenic spacer; may also contain 16S ribosomal RNA and 23S ribosomal RNA
Rfam family: tRNA (bases 305-377)
Source: RNAcentral